This is a long non-coding RNA of Astatotilapia calliptera (eastern happy), 420 nucleotides long. NCBI's taxonomy places the organism in Eukaryota, Metazoa, Chordata, Actinopteri, Cichliformes, Cichlidae. The record is from Ensembl.
UGGCAAUCGUACCAGCAGUAUUUAUGACCGGCGCACUCAACUGGUCUUCACCAGAUUAUCUGCCAACUUUACCUCUGAAACCCACCUACCAAGCUCUCCUGGAUACCAGUUUGCUGCCGCCGGUAAUCCCUCUCCGUUUUGGAGCUGCCAUUCUCGCCUGCCUGCCUCCCUGCAUUGCAUGCAGCACCCACCUGGACCUCUCCUGCCUCCCCCCUCCACGCAACCCCCACCUGCAAGCUUUGCCCUGGCCCGCCACAGUUUCCCCUGCCCAGUACCUGCACCCAGUUAUCCCUGCCAUCUAGUUAUCAUCACAGUAUUUUUCUCUCGCCUCAGACAUCUAGUUUAUGUUCAUUGAUUCUAGUCUGCACUUUCUGUUAGCCUCUGAGCAUUGUAAAAUAAAAUCUCUUUUCGUUACACCUC